GAUGAACGCUGGCGGCGUGCCUAAUACAUGCAAGUCGAGCGAACGGACGAGAAGCUUGCUUCUCUGAUGUUAGCGGCGGACGGGUGAGUAACACGUGGAUAACCUACCUAUAAGACUGGGAUAACUUCGGGAAACCGGAGCUAAUACCGGAUGAUAUUUUGAACCGCAUGGUUCAAAAGUGAAAGACGGUCUUGCUGUCACUUAUAGAUGGAUCCGCGCUGCAUCAGCUAGUUGGUAAGGUAACGGCUUACCAAGGCAACGAUGCAUAGCCGACCUGAGAGGGUGAUCGGCCACACUGGAACUGAGACACGGUCCAGACUCCUACGGGAGGCAGCAGUAGGGAAUCUUCCGCAAUGGGCGAAAGCCUGACGGAGCAACGCCGCGUGAGUGAUGAAGGUCUUCGGAUCGUAAAACCCUGUUAUUAGGGAAGAACAUAUGUGUAAGUAACUGUGCACAUCUUGACGGUACCUAAUCAGAAAGCCACGGCUAACUACGUG
This 497-nucleotide ribosomal RNA is filed under the name uncultured bacterium. RNAcentral describes it as "partial 16S ribosomal RNA". It matches the Rfam family "Bacterial small subunit ribosomal RNA", at positions 28 to 507 of the family's 1533-position model. The record is from RNAcentral.